Arabidopsis thaliana (thale cress) is the source of this 270-nucleotide long non-coding RNA. RefSeq annotates it as other RNA. Lineage: Eukaryota; Viridiplantae; Streptophyta; Magnoliopsida; Brassicales; Brassicaceae. The transcript has a single exon. The record is from RefSeq.
GAGAAGGAGAGGAAGAAGAGUAGUGAUCACGGAGAAGAUUAUGAAUAGAACAAACGGAUGCUUCGAAUCUCAGCUUUUUGUUCAGCUGUUUCUGAAGAUCAUCAAGCUCAAGCUUCAAGCUUUCCUCGGAAGGAGACGGUGAAGACGAUGCAUCCAUUCAGAAAUUUAUUUCUUAGAGUUAAGGAGAAUACUCAGGGGUUUCGAAUGAUUUUGGGGAUUUUGUAAGAAUGAUGCAAAAGAAGAACCAAUCUCUUGUCUUCUGGGAUUUUU